CACCCUACUAACAGUGACGGAGAAGCUCAGGCUAAUCAACAGGAUUCCGCUACCAUGGUUGCUGGGAAUGGGCUACCGAACCCAGUAGUAGGUGACAGGGCUGUCGAAGAAGAGCCUCUGGUUCUGGCCAAUGCUAAUCCAGGUACUGCUGAAAUGGGAGUGAGGGCUGCAAGAGAGAUUCCUGCCCGGGAACCAAGUAAUCAUCCACUGCAAAGGCCAGAGAUGAGGGUUCAAAGAUCUGCCGAUGACCGCUUGUUUACAUGGGCUGCCGUUGGACUUACUAUAGCAAUUUUGGUUCUUUUGUUCAAGAAGUUCAUGAAAUCCAGCGGACAUGGUGCUGUUUUUAUGGAUGGUUCGUAGUUCUCGCCUCAAGGAUCUCGGUUGACCUGUACUUGCUUUGCCGUAUUAGUUCAACAAGUAGUAAGAAACCCUUCAAAGACAUU
This 443-nucleotide long non-coding RNA is filed under the name Gossypium barbadense (sea-island cotton). Its description in RNAcentral is "long non-coding RNA (GBAR_LNC020176)". Lineage: Eukaryota; Viridiplantae; Streptophyta; Magnoliopsida; Malvales; Malvaceae. The record is from RNAcentral.